UGCAACCUCCGCUUCCCAGGUUCAAACGAUUCUCCUGCCUCAGCCUCCUGAGUAGCUGGGACUACAGGCAUGCCAGGCUAAUUUUUGUAUUUUUUGUAGAGACAGGGUUCCGCCAUAUUGCCCAGGCUGGUCUCAAAUUCGUGGGCUCAAGUGAUCCUCCUGCCUCAGCCUCUCAAAGUGGUGGGAUAACAAAAGUUUUUUUUUUGCUUUUUAAAAAAUUCAAUGUUAGCAAGAGAAUGAUAAGUUUGGGAGCUUCAUAUGAUGCUUUAGAAGUGUAAAUUUCCUUUCUGAUAAGCAGCUAAGCAAGCUAUAUCAGGAAUGUAGCUUUUUGGUUGUUUUUUGAGAUGGUCUUGCGUUGUUGCCCAGGCUUUGAGUGCAGUGGCAUGAUCAUGGCUCACUGCAGCCUCAACCUCCCUGACUCAAGCGAUCCUCCCACCUCAGCCUCCCAGGUAGCUGCGACUACAGGCACGCACCACUCCACUCGGCUAAUUUUUUAUUUUUUAUUUUUGUAGAGACAGGGUCUUCCUAUGUUGCCCAGGCCAGUCUCUGAACUCCUGGGCUCAAGUGAUCCUUCUGCCUUGGCCACCCAAAGUGCUGGGAUUAUGGGCGUGAGCCACCAUGCCAGGCUUGUAGCUUUAUAUCUUUAGCCCUUUCUCCUCUUGGGAUCUACCAUUAAGGAACAAGGCCUGUUUACCGCCAUACCACCCUGAAUGCGUCCAAUCUCAUGUGAUCUUGAAAGAAAGAAGGCCAGACAUGGUGGCUCACACCUAUAAUCCCAGCCUCCCAAGUAGCUGGGACUACAAGGCACCUACUGCUGCACUUAGCUUUAUCUUUUAACUCAUAUUUUAAAUGUCUUCUACAAGGCACAGAAAAAUAAGUAGUUGUGUUCAUUUUUAAGUAAAUAGUAGUAAACAGUUUCAAAUGCUGUUUGAGAUGUUAAUUAAGGCACACACUUAGACUAGUCCAUUUGAUUUGAAAAUUAGGAUUUUAUUUGUGCUUUUUGUUAAUUACUGGCUUUUAAAAGAUCAGUAGUGGGGCAGAAACUAGACUAGUGGGUUGAAGGGUGAAUAGGAAAUAAGUAAUACUUAUUCUUUCAAGGAGCUUGACUGAAAAGGAGACAGUGGUAGUUUGAAGAUAUUGCUGUUUUUAAGAUAAAAAUGAUUUCAGCACUUUAAAAAUAAAAAGUUGGAAAUGAUCAAUGAAUCAAGGAUCAUCAAGAAAGAGGCAAGAGGAAGUAAGAUUAAGCACAAAGAGUAUCAACUGAUAGGUGGCAUUUCAAGGAACUUCAGGUGUUGAAUAUCUAAAGCACCAAAUGCGUGUGGACAGCAGUGAAGAUAAAGCUGGAAAUGCGCCGGCAGACCAACACAUGAUGAGCCCUGUAGGUGGUGGACAAAGACUAUGAGCAAGCCAUUUAGGCAAACAUCUGAAGAAUUUAAAAAUCAAAGGCAAACAAAUAGGACUGUUUCAUUAAGAUCACUUGCAUUCUAACAGGUUAUGAUGAAUGGAAAGCUGAUGGUUCCUGGUUGGAAAAAAGAUAAUUUUCAAUUUGGACAUGUCACAUUUGAGAUGCAGUUGACACACCCAAGAUACAUAAUAUAUUGUCUUUCAAAAUUCAGAAACCUAAUAAACCAUGAUCUUAAUAACCGCCACUCCA
RNAcentral lists this long non-coding RNA (1654 nucleotides) under Homo sapiens (human). Its description in RNAcentral is "HSALNT0293837". The record is from RNAcentral. Lineage: Eukaryota; Metazoa; Chordata; Mammalia; Primates; Hominidae.